CAGCCGCCGCGGUAAUACGAAGGGGGCUAGCGUUGUUCGGAAUCACUGGGCGUAAAGGGUGCGUAGGCGGGCGACUCAGUCAGGGGUGAAAUCCCGAGGCUCAACCUCGGAACUGCCUUUGAUACUGGUUGUCUUGAGUCCGGAAGAGGUGAGUGGAACUGCGAGUGUAGAGGUGAAAUUCGUAGAUAUUCGCAAGAACACCGGUGGCGAAGGCGGCUCACUGGUCCGGAACUGACGCUGAGGCACGACAGCGUGGGGAGCAAACAGGAUUAGAUACCCCCGUAGUCCCUGUCUCUUAUAA
This 301-nucleotide ribosomal RNA is filed under the name uncultured bacterium. RNAcentral describes it as "partial 16S ribosomal RNA". It matches the Rfam family "Bacterial small subunit ribosomal RNA", at positions 509 to 809 of the family's 1533-position model. The record is from RNAcentral.